This 990-nucleotide ribosomal RNA is filed under the name Pseudoduganella buxea. RNAcentral describes it as "bacterial SSU rRNA". It matches the Rfam family "Bacterial small subunit ribosomal RNA", at positions 33 to 1019 of the family's 1533-position model. The record is from RNAcentral. Lineage: Bacteria; Pseudomonadati; Pseudomonadota; Betaproteobacteria; Burkholderiales; Oxalobacteraceae.
ACGCUGGCGGCAUGCUUUACACAUGCAAGUCGAACGGUAACAGGGAGCUUGCUCCGCUGACGAGUGGCGAACGGGUGAGUAAUAUAUCGGAACGUACCCAAGAGUGGGGGAUAACGUAGCGAAAGUUACGCUAAUACCGCAUACGAUCCAAGGAUGAAAGCAGGGGACCGCAAGGCCUUGUGCUCCUGGAGCGGCCGAUAUCUGAUUAGCUAGUUGGUAGGGUAAAGGCCUACCAAGGCAUCGAUCAGUAGCUGGUCUGAGAGGACGACCAGCCACACUGGAACUGAGACACGGUCCAGACUCCUACGGGAGGCAGCAGUGGGGAAUUUUGGACAAUGGGCGCAAGCCUGAUCCAGCAAUGCCGCGUGAGUGAAGAAGGCCUUCGGGUUGUAAAGCUCUUUUGUCAGGGAAGAAACGGGUGUGGCUAAUAUCUGCAUCUAAUGACGGUACCUGAAGAAUAAGCACCGGCUAACUACGUGCCAGCAGCCGCGGUAAUACGUAGGGUGCAAGCGUUAAUCGGAAUUACUGGGCGUAAAGCGUGCGCAGGCGGUUUUGUAAGUCUGUUGUGAAAUCCCCGGGCUUAACCUGGGAAUGGCAAUGGAGACUGCAAGGCUAGAGUUUGGCAGAGGGGGGUAGAAUUCCACGUGUAGCAGUGAAAUGCGUAGAGAUGUGGAGGAACACCGAUGGCGAAGGCAGCCCCCUGGGUCAAGACUGACGCUCAUGCACGAAAGCGUGGGGAGCAAACAGGAUUAGAUACCCUGGUAGUCCACGCCCUAAACGAUGUCUACUAGUUGUCGGGUCUUAAUUGACUUGGUAACGCAGCUAACGCGUGAAGUAGACCGCCUGGGGAGUACGGUCGCAAGAUUAAAACUCAAAGGAAUUGACGGGGACCCGCACAAGCGGUGGAUGAUGUGGAUUAACUCGAUGCAACGCGAAAAACCUUACCUACCCUUGACAUGGCAGGAAUCCCGAAGAGAUUUGGGAGUGCUC